Nilaparvata lugens (brown planthopper) is the source of this 808-nucleotide long non-coding RNA. RefSeq lists it as uncharacterized. NCBI's taxonomy places the organism in Eukaryota, Metazoa, Arthropoda, Insecta, Hemiptera, Delphacidae. The record is from RefSeq and is a predicted model, not a curated record. The transcript has 3 exons.
GAAAGCCUCAUUCGUUUUCGGUAACGAACCGAACCGAAUGCGUGUGAAGCGUCUAAGCCUCACUGUGCAGAAUAAGCCUCGUCGACAGAGUGGUGGUCAUGGUGUGGGUCUGUCUACCCGCUAACUUUUCAGGGUCUUCUUCAACUUGUCCUCUUUCUAUGCUUCGUACAGUAGCUGCAACCUUGUUCAAUAUUCUUUUGCUCAAUAAUUCAGGCCUAUUCCUGGCCAAGGUUGAAGUCACUUCCACUACAUGGAUCAAUUUUGCUUGUAGAUCUUUUUAUAGUGAUGAGUUUCUUCAUUUAUUGUGAACAUUUGUGGUUUCCAUUCCACCAUUAAGGCUGAUUCCAGGAUAAACAUUGCAGGCAGAGUCAAAAUGAGGCCACAAAGAUGAUUACGAACAAGCGCAGCUAUCUUUGGAGAGGUAAUGCACCUACUGAUAUCCCGUGAUAAGAACUUGGGAGAGAUUUAGUGAAAACCUGGAGAACGGCCACUUAGCUCACAAAUCUGAGCUGUUCACAUCAAGCUGAUAUUUGUGACAGCCAUUAUAGCUUUAAUCAUUUUCUCGAUUGAUCAAAGCACCACAGACUGCAUCGUUCGUCACCUCUGCCUUUAAGCGCGUUAUCACCUACUCCAAUAAGCCACCCCAAUAUCCUUAAUAAGCAAUAGAAGUUCUUAUCGACUGUGUAUGACUCAUUAAUAUCCAUGUUCUGUAUAAAUUUAUGUGAUAGGCCUACUGGUAUUAAUGUUGAUGUACCGUAAUGUUUUUUGCUCAUGUAUAAUUGAUAAUAAUACAUUAAAAAUAAAUAUA